GACGAACGCUGGCGGCGUGCUUAACACAUGCAAGUCGAACGGAAAGGCCCUGCUUUUGUGGGGUGCUCGAGUGGCGAACGGGUGAGUAACACGUGAGUAACCUGCCCUUGACUUUGGGAUAACUUCAGGAAACUGGGGCUAAUACCGGAUAGGAGCUCCUGCUGCAUGGUGGGGGUUGGAAAGUUUCGGCGGUUGGGGAUGGACUCGCGGCUUAUCAGCUUGUUGGUGGGGUAGUGGCUUACCAAGGCUUUGACGGGUAGCCGGCCUGAGAGGGUGACCAGCCACAUUGGGACUGAGAUACGACCCAGACUCCUACGGGAGGCAGCAGUGGGGAGUAUGGCACAAUGGGCGGAAGCCUGAUGCAGCGACGCCGCGUGCGGAAUGACGGCCUUCGGGUUGUAAACCGCUUUCGCCUGUGACGAAGCGUGAGUGACGGUAAUAGGUAAAGAAGCACCGGCUAACUACGUG
Molecule: ribosomal RNA, 468 nt
Filed under: uncultured bacterium
Lineage: Bacteria
Description: partial 16S ribosomal RNA
Rfam family: Bacterial small subunit ribosomal RNA
Source: RNAcentral